This 440-nucleotide ribosomal RNA is filed under the name uncultured bacterium. Its description in RNAcentral is "bacterial SSU rRNA". It matches the Rfam family "Bacterial small subunit ribosomal RNA", at positions 340 to 767 of the family's 1533-position model. The record is from RNAcentral.
UACGGAAGGCAGCAGUGGGGAAUAUUGGACAAUGGGCGAAAGCCUGAUCCAGCCAUGCCGCGUGUGUGAAGAAGGCCUUUUGGUUGUAAAGCACUUUAAGCGAGGAGGAGGCUACUUGGAUUAAUACUCUAGGAUAGUGGACGUUACUCGCAGAAUAAGCACCGGCUAACUCUGUGCCAGCAGCCGCGGUAAUACAGAGGGUGCGAGCGUUAAUCGGAUUUUACUGGGCGUAAAGCGUGCGUAGGCGGCUUUUUUAAGUCGGAUGUGAAAUCCCUGAGCUUAACUUAGGAAUUGCAUUCGAUACUGGGAAGCUAGAGUAUGGGAGAGGAUGGUAGAAUUCCAGGUGUAGCGGUGAAAUGCGUAGAGAUCUGGAGGAAUACCGAUGGGCGAAGGGCAGCCAUCUGGGCCUAAUACUGACGCUGAGGUCGAAAGCAUGGGGA